AUGCGAUACGUAAUGUGAAUUGCAGAAUUCAGUGAAUCAUCGAAUCUUUGAACGCAUCUUGCGCUCUCUGGUAUUCCGGAGAGCAUGUCUGUUUGAGUGUCAUGAAUUCUUCAACCCAACUGUUUCUUGUAAACAGCUGGUGUUUGGAUUCUGAGCGCUGCUGGCUUCGUGCCUAGCUCGUUCGUAAUACAUCAGCAUCCCUAAUACAAGUUUGGAUUGACUUGGCGUAAUAGACUAUUCGCUAAGGAUUCAAUGUUCUGCAUUGAGCCAACUUAGUUAAGGAAGCUUCUAAUUGAAAAGUCUACCUUUAGAUUAGAUCUCAAAUCAGGCAGGAUUACCCGCUGAACUUAA
RNAcentral lists this unclassified non-coding RNA (351 nucleotides) under uncultured Sporobolomyces. RNAcentral describes it as "partial contains 5.8S ribosomal RNA, internal transcribed spacer 2, and large subunit ribosomal RNA". The stretch from base 1 to 102 matches the Rfam family "5.8S ribosomal RNA", at positions 53 to 154 of the family's 154-position model. Lineage: Eukaryota; Fungi; Basidiomycota. The record is from RNAcentral.